AGGACGAACGCUGGCGGCGUGCUUAACACAUGCAAGUCGAACGAUGAACCACUUCGGUGGGGAUUAGUGGCGAACGGGUGAGUAACACGUGGGCAAUCUGCCCUGCACUCUGGGACAAGCCCUGGAAACGGGGUCUAAUACCGGAUAACACUACGGGCCUCAUGGUCUGUGGUUAAAAGCUCCGGCGGUGCAGGAUGAGCCCGCGGCCUAUCAGCUUGUUGGUGAGGUAAUGGCUCACCAAGGCGACGACGGGUAGCCGGCCUGAGAGGGCGACCGGCCACACUGGGACUGAGACACGGCCCAGACUCCUACGGGAGGCAGCAGUGGGGAAUAUUGCACAAUGGGCGAAAGCCUGAUGCAGCGACGCCGCGUGAGGGAUGACGGCCUUCGGGUUGUAACCGUCUUUCAGCAGGGAAGAAGCGAAAGUGACGGUACCUGCAGAAGAAGCGCCGGCUAACUACGCGCCAGCAGCCGCGGU
RNAcentral lists this ribosomal RNA (478 nucleotides) under uncultured bacterium. RNAcentral describes it as "SSU rRNA". It matches the Rfam family "Bacterial small subunit ribosomal RNA", at positions 26 to 521 of the family's 1533-position model. The record is from RNAcentral.